GGAUGGAUGUCUGAGCGGUUGAAAGAGUUGGUCUUGAAAACUGAAGUAUUUAUAGAAAUACCAAGGGUUCGAAUCCCUCUCCAUCCG
Non-coding RNA from Nicotiana sylvestris (wood tobacco), 87 nucleotides. The record is from Rfam. NCBI's taxonomy places the organism in Eukaryota, Viridiplantae, Streptophyta, Magnoliopsida, Solanales, Solanaceae.